AAUAGAUACCCCGGUAGUCCACGCCGUAAACGAUGAGUGCUAAGUGUUAGGGGGUUUCCGCCCCUUAGUGCUGCAGCUAACGCAUUAAGCACUCCGCCUGGGGAGUACGGUCGCAAGACUGAAACUCAAAGGAAUUGACGGGGGCCCGCACAAGCGGUGGGGCAUGUGGUUUAAUUCGAAGCAACGCGAAGAACCUUACCAGGUCUUGACAUCCCAUUGACCGCUAUGGAGACAUAGCUUUCCCUUCGGGGACAGUGGUGACAGGUGGUGCAUGGUUGUCGUCAGCUCGUGUCGUGAGAUGUUGGGUUAAGUCCCGCAACGAGCGCAACCCUUGUUUUUAGUUGCCAUCAUUUAGUUGGGCACUCUAAGGAGACUGCCGGUGACAAACCGGAGGAAGGUGGGGAUGACGUCAAAUCAUCAUGCCCCUUAUGACCUGGGCUACACACGUGCUACAAUGGACGGUACAAACGGUUGCCAACCCGCGAGGGGGAGCUAAUCCGAUAAAACCGUUCUCAGUUCGGAUUGUAGGCUGCAACUCGCCUACAUGAAGCCG
Molecule: ribosomal RNA, 553 nt
Filed under: uncultured bacterium
Lineage: Bacteria
Description: bacterial SSU rRNA
Rfam family: Bacterial small subunit ribosomal RNA
Source: RNAcentral